AUACGGAGGUGCAAGCGUUAAUCGGAAUUACUGGGCGUAAAGCGUACGUAGGCGGUUCGUUAAGUUAGAUGUGAAAGCCCCGGGCUUAACCUGGGAACUGCAUUUAAAACUGGCGGACUAGAGUUGAGUAGAGGGGAGUGGAAUUUCAGGUGUAGCGGUGAAAUGCGUAGAGAUCUGAAGGAACACCAGUGGCGAAGGCGACUCCCUGGACUCGAACUGACGCUGAGGUACGAAAGCGUGGGUAGCAAACGGGAUUAGAAACCCCGGUAGUCC
RNAcentral lists this ribosomal RNA (273 nucleotides) under uncultured bacterium. RNAcentral's name for it is "partial 16S ribosomal RNA". It matches the Rfam family "Bacterial small subunit ribosomal RNA", at positions 523 to 796 of the family's 1533-position model. The record is from RNAcentral.